UGGGGUAGGUGUAAUUGGCAACACGGAAGAUUCUGAUUCUUUUGUUCUUGGUUCGAGUCCAGGUACCCCAGC
This 72-nucleotide transfer RNA is filed under the name Clavibacter michiganensis subsp. michiganensis. Its description in RNAcentral is "tRNA-Gln". It matches the Rfam family "tRNA". From Rfam's summary of the family: Transfer RNA (tRNA) molecules are approximately 80 nucleotides in length. Lineage: Bacteria; Bacillati; Actinomycetota; Actinomycetes; Micrococcales; Microbacteriaceae. The record is from RNAcentral.